RNAcentral lists this unclassified non-coding RNA (248 nucleotides) under Hevea brasiliensis (rubber tree). The record is from RNAcentral. Lineage: Eukaryota; Viridiplantae; Streptophyta; Magnoliopsida; Malpighiales; Euphorbiaceae.
GCAAGCUCUAAGCGUCUUUCCUAAUGCAGUCCAUGAGCCAUAUGUAAACAUGUUUAUGCCGCACAAUUUUCUCUUAUAAGCCAACCAUGCAAGUGGAUGGAGGCAACAAGUUUAAACCAGAUGCAUAAAAGUAAAGACAUCCAGAACAUAACAUGAAAAUGACAAAUGCUUGAACAUUGUUGUUACCUCAAUGACAUUGACAGAACAAAGAGGACGGUCAUUUACCUGGUGGUGAAGGCCAAAAUCUA